Molecule: ribosomal RNA, 301 nt
Filed under: uncultured bacterium
Lineage: Bacteria
Description: partial 16S ribosomal RNA
Rfam family: Bacterial small subunit ribosomal RNA
Source: RNAcentral
CAGCAGCCGCGGUAAUACGUAGGUGGCAAGCGUUGUCCGGAAUUAUUGGGCGUAAAGGGCUCGCAGGCGGUUUCUUAAGUCUGAUGUGAAAGCCCCCGGCUCAACCGGGGAGGGUCAUUGGAAACUGGGAAACUUGAGUGCAGAAGAGGAGAGUGGAAUUCCAUGUGUAGCGGUGAAAUGCGUAGAGAUGUGGAGGAACACCAGUGGCGAAGGCGACUCUCUGGUCUGUAACUGACGCUGAGGAGCGAAAGCGUGGGGAGCGAACAGGAUUAGAGACCCCUGUAGUCCCUGUCUCUUAUAC